Molecule: long non-coding RNA, 1632 nt
Organism: Phasianus colchicus (ring-necked pheasant)
Lineage: Eukaryota; Metazoa; Chordata; Aves; Galliformes; Phasianidae
Source: Ensembl
AUAGGGAUCUAUGGGGUUUCUAUGGGGUUCUAUGGGGCUCUAUGGGGCUCUAUGGGUCUCUAUGGGGUCUCUAUGGGUCUCUAUGGGAUCUCUAUGGGGCUUUGUGGGGCUCUGUGGGUCUUUAUGGGGUCUCUAUGGGGCUCUAUGGGGCACUGCUGGGCACUAUGGGGUCUCUAUGGGGCUCUGUGCAGCUCUAUGGGGUUUCUAUGGGGCAGAAUGGGUCUCUACAGGAUCUCUAUGGGGCUCUAUGGGGUCUCUAUGGGGUUCUGUGGGGCUCUGUGGGGUCCCACCCCACACUUAUGGGGGUCCCAACCCAAACUUAUGGGUCCCACCCCACACUUAUGGGUCCCCACCCCACACUUGGGGGUCCCACCCCAAACUUAUGGGUCCCACUGCACACUUAUGGGUCCCACCCCACACUUGGGGGUCCCAAGCCAAAACUUAUGGGUCCUCACCCCAAACUUAUGGGUCCCACUGCACACUUAUGGGUCCCACCCCACACUUGUGGAUCCCACCCCACACUUAUGGGGGUCCCAAGCCAAAACUUAUGGGUCCCACCCCACACUUAUGGGUCCCACCCCACACUUGGGGUCCCACCCCACACUUAUGGGGGUCCCACGCCAAACUUAUGGGUCCCACCCCACACUUGUGGAUCCCACCCCACACUUGUGGGUCCCACCCCAAACUUAUGGGUCCCACUGCACACUUAUGGGUCCCACCCCAAACUUGUGGGUCCCACCCCACACUUGGGGGUCCCAUGCCAAAACUUAUGGGUCCCCACACCAAACUUGGGGGUCCCACCCCACACUUGGGGGUCCCUCCCCAAACUUAUGGGUCCCACCCCACACUUGGGGUCCCACCCCAAACUUAUGGGUCCCACUGCACACUUAUGGGUCCCACCCCACACUUGUGGGUCCCACCCCACACUUAUGGGUCCCCCCCCCACACUUGGGGUCCCACCCCACACUUAUGGGUCCCACCCCACACUUGGGGGUCCCACCCCACACUUAUGGGGUCCCAGCCCACACUUAUGGGUCCCCACCCCACAAGCUCCUGUCGGGACACGUCGCUCCCCUGUCGCGUUGGGGCGUCAACCCCAUAAGUUCCCCCCCACACACACCCCACACCCCACACCCCACACCCCACACCCUACCCUACAGCUAUGGGGCGGCGCUUAUGGGGCCGAGGGGAGGCGUCGCGACCCCCCGCCCGCCCCACAUUUCACCCCAUUGAAGCUGUCCCUAUGCUGACCCCAUAAGCGGGGGAGGUGGGGGAACCCGUCGGGUGACUCCCGGCUCCGCCCCACACAUCCCCACCCCAGAAAUGUGGGGUGAAAUCGGUGGGGCUGAGAGAGGCCGGGAUCCCAUGGGCGCCCCACAGAUCGCCUUCCUCUUCCUCCUCUGCCUCUUCUUCAUCCUCGUCCCGAAAUCCGCCCCGCUGCCCCACUGCGAUGGGGACGGCUGGGAGAACGCAGCGCACGCAGGUGGGUGUGGGGCUGCCCCAUAAGUGUGGGGCCGCCCCANNNNNNNNNNNNNNNGGGGGGAAGGUGGGAAGAUGUGGGGCAGACCUACGUCUAUGGGGCGGCGUUGGGGACGUGGGGGCGCUAUGGGGCAGGGUGAGAUCUAUGGGGUU